Molecule: non-coding RNA, 74 nt
Organism: Trichonephila inaurata madagascariensis
Lineage: Eukaryota; Metazoa; Arthropoda; Arachnida; Araneae; Nephilidae
Source: the annotation of a GenBank genome assembly
GGGGGUAUAGCUCACAUUGAUAAAGCAUUCGACUGCUAAUCGAGAGGUCCCUGGUUCAAACCAAGGUGCCUCCU